AUUGAACGCUGGCGGCAGGCUUAACACAUGCAAGUCGAGCGGGGUGAUGGUGCUUGCACUAUCACUUAGCGGCGGACGGGUGAGUAAUGCUUAGGAAUCUGCCUAUUAGUGGGGGACAACAUCUCGAAAGGGAUGCUAAUACCGCAUACGUCCUACGGGAGAAAGCAGGGGAUCACUUGUGACCUUGCGCUAAUAGAUGAGCCUAAGUCGGGUUAGCUAGUUGGUGGGGUAAAGGCCUACCAAGGCGACGAUCUGUAGCGGGUCUGAGAGGAUGAUCCGCCAAACUUGGACGGGGAUACGGCCCAGAGUCCUACGGGAGGCAGCAGUGGGGAAUAUUGGACAAUGGGGGGAACCCUGAUCCAGCCAUGCCGCGUGUGUGAAGAAGGCCUUAUGGUUGUAAAGCACUUUAAGCGAGGAGGAGGCUCUUUUGGUUAAUACCCAAGAUGAGUGGACGUUACUCGCAGAAUAAGCACCGGCUAACUUUGUGCCAGCCGCCGCCGUAA
Molecule: ribosomal RNA, 503 nt
Filed under: uncultured bacterium
Lineage: Bacteria
Description: partial 16S ribosomal RNA
Rfam family: Bacterial small subunit ribosomal RNA
Source: RNAcentral